RNAcentral lists this RNase P RNA (376 nucleotides) under Pseudomonadota bacterium. RNAcentral describes it as "Proteobacteria bacterium (activated sludge metagenome) RNase P RNA component class A". It matches the Rfam family "Bacterial RNase P class A". Rfam says of the family: Ribonuclease P (RNase P) is a ubiquitous endoribonuclease, found in archaea, bacteria and eukarya as well as chloroplasts and mitochondria. Its best characterised activity is the generation of mature 5'-ends of tRNAs by cleaving the 5'-leader elements of precursor-tRNAs. Lineage: Bacteria; Pseudomonadati; Pseudomonadota. The record is from RNAcentral.
UCAGAUGGCCGGAUGGCCGCGGGGCUUCGCAAGAAGCGUCGAGGAAAGUCCGGGCUCCACGGAAACACGGUGACGGAUAACAUCCGCCGGGGGUAACCCCAGGGAAAGCGCCACAGAAAUGAAACCGCCCACCGGCCUAAAGCCGCGGCAAGGUUGAAAAGGUGCGGUAAGAGCGCACCGCGUCUCUGGCAACAGAGGUGGCACGGCAAGCCCCAUCGGGAGCAAGACCAAAUAGGGACGGCACGUCAUCCGUUUCCGGAUCGCCGUCCGGGUAGGUCGCGUGAGGUGUGGGGCAACUCACAUCCCAGAGGAAUGGCCAUCUAUCGCGGGAGAAAUCCCGCGUGGACAGAACCCGGCUUACAGGCCAUCUGACGCA